Molecule: unclassified non-coding RNA, 1365 nt
Filed under: uncultured fungus
Lineage: Eukaryota; Fungi
Description: sequence contains 18S rRNA gene, ITS1, 5.8S rRNA gene, ITS2, 28S rRNA gene
Source: RNAcentral
GGGCGGCUGCCAUCGCCGAGCUCGUGCUGUGGAUCGGCUUCUUGCGCUGGCGGCUGCAGACCGCGGGGGACGUGGGCCACCUGCCCGAGCCGAUCCUGGCGAACUACCGCAACAUCGAGCGGCGGGACGCCGUGCUGGCGUGGGACGCGAUCGAGCCGCUGCUGGAUGCGCGCGGCCAGCCCGUCACCCGGUGGGACGGCCGGACGACGAAGCCGCACCCGGUGACCGGCGAGCAGGUGCCCGACGAGACCGCGCGCAUCCCCGCGCAUCAUUACAUCAAUCCCCGCCCCGCCGAGUGGCCGGAGGCGGAGUUUGUGGUGGGGAACCCGCCGUUUGUCGGGAACAAGCGGAUGCGCGCAGUCCUUGGCGAUGGCUAUGUAGAUGCCUUGCGCUCGGCUUGUCCUGAUGUCCCAAACGCCGUUGACUACGUCAUGUAUUGGUGGGAUCACGCCGCAGGGUUGGUACAGGGCAAUAAGGUAAGGCGGUUUGGGCUGAUCACGACCAACAGCAUAACCCAGACAUUCAAUCGAAAGGUUGUCGGCACCUAUCUUCGAUCCAAGCAACCGAUCUCAUUGGUAUAUGCUGUUCCGGAUCAUCCCUGGGUGGACUCCUCCGACGGCGCCGCUGUUAGGAUCGCCAUGACCGUAGCAGGAAGAGGAUUGCUUGAAGGUGUACUGGCAAAGCCUAUUGAUGAGAAAGUGGAAGAUGGAGAUGCCGUAAGUGUCGUUUUCCGUGCUUCGCAUGGAGCAAUUCACGAAGAUCUCUCCAUCGGUGCGGCUGUAGCUACGACGGCUUCUCUCAAAGCGAACGAGGGCAUGUCGUUUCAAGGAAUCAUUCUUGUCGGCGAGGGGUUCAGAUUAUCGAAACAGGAUCUGCAGAGAUACGGCAUUAUGCAGGCCACUCUAGCUCCGGUUGUGCGCCGGUACAUGAUCGGCCGUGAUCUAGUUCAGCUUCCUGAGGAACGAUAUGUAAUAGACUUCUUUGGAUUGUCUCUGUCAGAGGCUCGCCAUUGCUACCCGAUGCUACUGCAAAAGAUCGCUGAUGAAGUCAAGCCGGCUCGUGAUGCCAGCAAUGACAGGAAAUUCCGAGAUGAGUGGUGGCUCUGGGGCCGACCCCGGCCCGACAUGCGGAGGGCGAUUUCUGGCUUGGAUCGAUACAUCGCCACUUGCAGAACUGCAACUCAUCGCGUAUUUGUUUAUCUGGACUCGGGCGUGAUGCCGGAUGCCAAGAUCAUUGCUAUCGCGCUCUCAGAUGGAUACCAUUUGGGUGUCCUUUCCUCUCGUAUUCAUGUUACCUGGGCAAAAGCUUCUGGAGCCUGGUUGGGAGUGGGCAAUGACUCCAACUACAAUCACUCCGAAUGCUUUG